AUGUGCAGCCACAGCACCCUGGACGCACCCGGCCUCGUCUCGCCUCGGGAGCUAAGCAGGGUCGGGCCUGGUUAGUACUUGGCUGGGAGAGAGGCAGGACUCAGCCACAGA
This 111-nucleotide ribosomal RNA is filed under the name Prolemur simus (greater bamboo lemur). Lineage: Eukaryota; Metazoa; Chordata; Mammalia; Primates; Lemuridae. The record is from RNAcentral.